CUCUUCUCAGCUUCGGGGGACCCCCCCCCCAGGCUUCAUGAAGACACUGCCUAAGUGGUGAUGACAGUCUACCUACUCUACUCUGCUGUGACCAAUGACCAGAAGAACCUCAAUAGUGACGUGUCUCAGAUCCAAAUUCAAUGGACGCCUCUUCUUGGGAUCCAACAGAAGCAUCAGGCAGUCCCUUCUCCAUCGUGCUGCUGUGUGGCUGUGUGGAGAGUGGGCAGCAGCAAUGACGGCUGAGCUCCUGCGCUGAGAAGCCAGGCCUGCAGACCAGGUUCACCCCUCCACCUGGCUGGGGUACAAGCAGCGUGGUCCUCUGCUGCAGUGCAGGACCUCAUCUGGGGACAAUCUCCUGUUCUACCUUGGAAGAAACUGGAGGCCUCUGCACACAUGAGCAGCUGCUCUGAGCCGGGUCUGUCUCUGGCUAGGGAGGUGUAGCUUCUGGGCCCAUCUCCCAUUGAGAAGACUCUCCUUUGUGUUUCAAGGCUGUGUGUGUGCACUGGUUAUAUCUGGAAAGACAUCAGGGUGCCAGCUGCCCAGGGGUUUCUCUCCUUGUUGAUAUCCACGCUCUCCCUUCUGCGGGACCCGCUAUUACCCUGGCAGCCAUGGGCUGUUGAAUUUGCUUCUAAAAUCCAUACUCACACAUUUAUAACUUGGCUCGGAUCCAAUCUGACAAGAGCGUUUUAAAGCCAGCAGCAUUUGAUAUUUUCUUUCCCUCUCGCUAGCAAGUGCUUCUGUAAUUGCGGCUGUCUUCUCGGGGUUCCUGCCAGGCACACUGGGGGAGUCUCGGGGGAGCCUUCAAUCAAGGUUGUACCUGUUUGGGAAGCUGUGGGGCGUCGUUUUAUUUUUGGUCCUAGUAAUCUCUGGCUCGUAGGUGUUGAGGGAUAAGGAAUUUUCCAGUCACUCCACUGCAAAUACAGGACAAUUAAGCCGGGUCACAAUCCACCCUCUUAAGCACUACUCUCCUGCAUCGGGGCUUUUUCUCUCGUAGAAAUCCCUCUCUAGCCACACAACUGCUCUCAAAUAAACAGCUUUAAAAUUGCAUACUGACCUAUUGUUGGCCAAGCCCUUAAGGUCACACAGCUUGCCUUUUGGUGGCCAAAUUAGUCGCAGCAGGUGACACAGGAGCUGGCAUGGUGAGAGAAGGGGCCUUGAUUACCGUUUUCUAGAAGAGUAAAUGAGAAGGCAGGUGAUGGAUCCUUGGCCAAUCUGCACAAAGGCUUUCCUCGCACUGAUGGCAGCUGGACUCUCCAGCAUGGAGUUGUCCCCCUGCCUCAGUCGGCUAUGGCCAGCUCCUUGGGUUCUUCAGGCCUCAGCCACUCAGCUGCAGGAAUUAAACUCAUAUCCAAGAGGCCACUGUGGCAUCAGUGUCUGUCAGAAUCAAGGUACCAAAGCUGGCCAGUAGACAGCCCUCUGCUGUUGCUAAUUCUUCAAAUGGCAUUGAAGGGACUGGCAAGGCCCCAGCUUGUAGCCACAGGCAGCCCGGGGCCUGAUGAUCCCAAUGAGCGGGUCCCACUGACCAUUGCUUACAGUAGUCAGAGUUGCUGCUCCCUGCCUGUGGAAAGCCUCCCCCUCAGUUCUUCCCUUUAGAAAACCUCUUCAGCGCAUUUAAUCAUAGCCAAGUCACUAAUCAACAAUGUGUGCUCUCAGGCUGUGUCCAUGGCUCACCAGGCCAGCCCUUCCUUAAAGAGCCAAAGAACUCCCGCCUUGGGUUUCAUGGAAGCCAUUCUGGUUUUCUUAAACACUGGUCUUCUAAAAGAGGGAAUCGUUGCUUGUUCCAGCUGGCUUUCUUUGCUAUAAUUAAAAACUACAACAACAAUGAAAGCCAACCAACCAAACAAAUGAAUAGCAACAACAAUAAUAAC
This is a long non-coding RNA of Mus musculus (house mouse), 1868 nucleotides long. RefSeq annotates it as predicted gene, 29967. The record is from RefSeq and is a predicted model, not a curated record. The transcript has 3 exons. Lineage: Eukaryota; Metazoa; Chordata; Mammalia; Rodentia; Muridae.